This 327-nucleotide ribosomal RNA is filed under the name uncultured eukaryote. RNAcentral describes it as "partial 18S ribosomal RNA". It matches the Rfam family "Eukaryotic small subunit ribosomal RNA", at positions 1470 to 1796 of the family's 1831-position model. The record is from RNAcentral.
CCCAUAGAUGUUCUGGGCCGCACACGCGCUACACUGAAGGAGGCAGCGUGUACUCCUGGAUCGAAAGAUUUGGGUAACCCGCGAAUCUCCUUCGUGCUAGGGAUUGAGGUUUGCAAUUAUCCUUCAUGAACGAGGAAUUCCCAGUAAGUGCAAGUCAUAAGCUUGCGCUGACUACGUCCCUGCCCUUUGUACACACCGCCCGUCGCUACUACCGAUUGAAUGAUUUAGUGAGGACUUCGGACUGGGACCGAUGCGGCUUUCGGGCUGCGUCGGUAUUCUGGAAAGAUGUCCAAACUGUAUCAUUUAGAGGAAGUAAAAGUCGUAACA